GACGAACGCUGGCGGCGUGCUUAACACAUGCAAGUCGAACGAUGAAGCUGGAGCUUGCUCCGGUGGAUUAGUGGCGAACGGGUGAGUAACACGUGAGCAGUCUGCCCUUGACUCUGGGAUAACUGCGGGAAACUGUAGCUAAUACCGGAUAUGUGGCUCGAAGGCAUCUUCGGGUCUGGAAAGAAUUUCGGUCAAGGAUGAGCUCGCGGCCUAUCAGCUUGUUGGUGAGGUAAUGGCUCACCAAGGCGACGACGGGUAGCCGGCCUGAGAGGGUGACCGGCCACACUGGGACUGAGACACGGCCCAGACUCCUACGGGAGGCAGCAGUGGGGAGUAUUGCACAAUGGGCGAAAGCCUGAUGCAGCAACGCCGCGUGAGGGAUGAAGGCCUUCGGGUUGUAAACCUCUUUUAGCAGGGAAGAAGCGAAAGUGACGGUACCUGCAGAAAAAGCACCGGCUAACUACGUGCCAGCCGCCGCAGUAA
This 483-nucleotide ribosomal RNA is filed under the name uncultured bacterium. RNAcentral describes it as "partial 16S ribosomal RNA". It matches the Rfam family "Bacterial small subunit ribosomal RNA", at positions 28 to 523 of the family's 1533-position model. The record is from RNAcentral.